RNAcentral lists this ribosomal RNA (506 nucleotides) under uncultured bacterium. RNAcentral describes it as "bacterial SSU rRNA". It matches the Rfam family "Bacterial small subunit ribosomal RNA", at positions 22 to 518 of the family's 1533-position model. The record is from RNAcentral.
CGUCAGGAUGAACGCUAGCUACAGGCUUAACACAUGCAAGGUCGAGGGGCAGCAUGAAGUUGCUGCAAACUUGAUGGCGACCGGCGCGACGGUGAGUAACGCGUAUCCAACCUUCCCUAUACUAGAGGAUAGCCCGGCGAAAGUCGGAUUAAUACUCUAUGUUCUUCGUAGAAGACAUCUGAAAUGAAGCAAAGGUUUACCGGUAUAGGAUGGGGAUGCGUCUGAUUAGGUUGUUGGCGGGGUAACGGCCCACCAAGCCUACGAUCAGUAGGGGUUCUGAGAGGAAGGUCCCCCACAUUGGAACUGAGACACGGUCCAAACUCCUACGGGAGGCAGCAGUGAGGAAUAUUGGUCAAUGGACGAGAGUCUGAACCAGCCAAGUAGCGUGCAAGGAUGACGGCCCUAUGGGUUGUAAACUGCUUUUAUACAGGGAUAAAGUGCACUACGUGUAGUGUUUUGUAGGUACUGUAUGAAUAAGGACCGGCUAAUUCCGUGCCAGCAGCCGC